GAGUUUGAUCAUGGCUCAGAAUGAACGCUGGCGGCGUGCCUAACACAUGCAAGUCGAGCGCGAAAGCGACUUCGGUCGUUAGUAGAGCGGCGAACGGGUGAGUAACACGUGGAUAACCUGCCUGGAAGUGGGGAAUAACUCAGGGAAACUUGAGCUAAUACCGCAUACGUUCCCUUCGUGCGAGCGAAGUGAACAAAGAUGGCCUCUUCCUGAAAGCUGUCGCUUCCAGAGGGAUCCGCGCCUGAUUAGCUAGUUGGUGAGGUAAUGGCUCACCAAGGCGACGAUCAGUAGCCGGCCUGAGAGGGUGAUCGGCCACACUGGAACUGAGACACGGUCCAGGCUCCUACGGGAGGCAGCAGUGGGGAAUAUUGGACAAUGGGCGAAAGCCUGAUCCAGCAACGCCGCGUGGAGGAUGAAGGCCCUCGGGUUGUAAACUCCUGUCAGGUGGGACGAAAAGAUGUCGGCAAAUAACCGGCAUCCUUGACGGUACCACCGGAGGAAGCCCCGGCUAACUCCGUGCCAGCAGCCGCGGUAAUACGGAGGGGGCAAGCGUUAUUCGGAAUCAUUGGGCGUAAAGGGCGCGUAGGCGGCUUGGCAAGUCAGGGGUGAAAUCCCUCGGCUCAACCGAGGAACUGCCUCUGAAACUGUCUGGCUUGAGGCCGGGAGAGGGUAGUGGAAUUCCCAGUGUAGCGGUGAAAUGCGUAGAUAUUGGGAGGAACACCGGUGGCGAAGGCGGCUACCUGGACCGGUUCUGACGCUGAGGCGCGAAAGUGUGGGGGGCAAACAGGAUUAGAUACCCUGGUAGUCCACACUGUAAACGAUGAGCACUCGGUGCCGCGGGUGUCGACCCCUGCGGUGCCUUAGGAAACCCGUUAAGUGCUCCGCCUGGGGAGUACGGUCGCAAGGCUGAAACUCA
Molecule: ribosomal RNA, 916 nt
Filed under: uncultured delta proteobacterium
Lineage: Bacteria; Deltaproteobacteria
Description: bacterial SSU rRNA
Rfam family: Bacterial small subunit ribosomal RNA
Source: RNAcentral